GCCCUCAUAGUUCAGCCAGGAUAGAAUACGACCUUGCGGAGGUUGUGACCGAGGUUCAAAUCCUCGUGGGGGCA
RNAcentral lists this transfer RNA (74 nucleotides) under Candidatus Pacearchaeota archaeon. Its description in RNAcentral is "tRNA-Arg". It matches the Rfam family "tRNA". From Rfam's summary of the family: Transfer RNA (tRNA) molecules are approximately 80 nucleotides in length. The record is from RNAcentral. Lineage: Archaea; Nanobdellati.